Molecule: ribosomal RNA, 460 nt
Filed under: uncultured bacterium
Lineage: Bacteria
Description: partial 16S ribosomal RNA
Rfam family: Bacterial small subunit ribosomal RNA
Source: RNAcentral
CCUACGGGUGGCAGCAGUGAGGAAUCUUGGUCAAUGGACGCAAGUCUGAACCAGCCAUGCCGCGUGCAGGAAGACGGCUCUAUGAGUUGUAAACUGCUUUUGUACGAGGGUAAACGCAGAUACGCGUAUCUGUCUGACAGUAUCGUACGAAUAAGGAUCGGCUAACUCCGUGCAAGCAGCCGCGGUAAUACGGAGGAUUCAGGCGUUAUCCGGAUUGAUUGGGUUUAAAGGGUGCGUAGGCGGUCGGAUAAGUUAGAGGUGAAAUCCCGAGGCUCAACUUCGGAAUUGCCUCGGAGACGGUUCGGCUAGAGAGUAGUUGAGGUAGGCGGAAUGUAUGGUGUAGCGGUGAAAUGCUUAGAGAUCAUACAGAACACCGAUUGCGAAGGCAACUUACCAAGCUACUUCUGACGUUGAGGCACGAAAGCGUGGGGAGCAAACAGGAUUAGAUACCCUAGUAGUC